UACGAAGGGGGCUAGCGUUGCUCGGAAUCACUGGGCGUAAAGCGCACGUAGGCGGAUUUUUAAGUCAGGGGUGAAAUCCUGGAGCUCAACUCCAGAACUGCCUUUGAUACUGGGAAUCUCGAGUCCGGAAGAGGUGAGUGGAACUGCGAGUGUAGAGGUGAAAUUCGUAGAUAUUUGCAAGAACACCAGUGGCGAAGGCGGCUCACUGGUCCGGUACUGACGCUGAGGUGCGAAAGCGUGGGGAGCAAACAGG
RNAcentral lists this ribosomal RNA (253 nucleotides) under uncultured bacterium. RNAcentral's name for it is "partial 16S ribosomal RNA". It matches the Rfam family "Bacterial small subunit ribosomal RNA", at positions 524 to 776 of the family's 1533-position model. The record is from RNAcentral.